AAGAAGAAUAUUAAUGGAUUAGAACAAGAAUCAGAAUUAGAAUCCGUAGAGAAGAUCUUCGAGGCUAAAGAAGUACCUCCAUGGCAGAAUCAACUGACCUUGAGAGCCUUCGUUGUGAGCUUUAUUUUGGGGAUUUUGUUCAGCUUUAUAGUGAUGAAACUCAAUCUCACCACUGGCGUUAUUCCAUCCCUCAAUGUCUCUGCUGGUCUCUUGGGCUUCUUCCUCGUCAAGACUUGGACAAAGCUUCUCCACAGGGCUGGACUCUUAAAGCAACCAUUUACCCGUCAGGAGAACACCGUCAUCCAGACCUGCGUUGUCGCCACCUCCGGCAUUGCUUUUAGCGGUGGUUUUGGUAGUUACCUCUUCGCAAUGAGUGAAGCUGUGGCUAAACAGUCAACAGAAUCCAAUGCUGCACGGAACAUUAAGAACCCAUCACUGGGAUGGAUGAUUGGCUUUCUUUUUGUUGUUAGCUUUCUUGGCCUCUUCUCUGUGGUGCCUCUUCGGAAGAUAAUGAUUAUCGAUUUCAAAUUGAUCUAUCCAAGCGGCACUGCUACUGCCCAUCUUAUCAAUAGCUUCCACACCCCUCAAGGUGCCAAGUUAGCAAAGAAGCAAGUGAGAGAAUUGGGCAAGUUUUUCUCUUUUAGCUUCUUGUGGGGUUUCUUUCAAUGGUUUUUCACUGCUGGAGAUGACUGUGGAUUUAUAAACUUCCCCACGUUUGGUCUCAAGGCCUAUCAGAACAAGUUUUAUUUCGAUUUCUCUGCUACAUAUGUUGGUGUUGGGAUGAUCUGUCCAUAUCUAAUCAAUGUUUCUCUGCUAGUUGGGGCAAUCCUUUCAUGGGGUAUCAUGUGGCCUCUCAUAAACAAUAGAAAAGGUGAUUGGUACUCGGAAGAGCAUAGCUCCGGCCUCCAUGGCCUACAAGGUUACAAGGUCUUCAUAGCCAUAGCAAUGAUCCUCGGUGAUGGUGCCUACAACUUCUGCAAAGUCAUUGGCCGUACUCUAUUUGAUCUGUACCAGCUCUCCAACGCUUUCUUACGAUGACCAACGUCGAUCAGAACUAUUUCUCAGAGAGCAAAUCCCAUCGUGGUUCGCUGUUGGUGGCUAUGUCAUUGUUGCAAUGAUCUCUGCGAUUACAGCUCCUCACAUUUUCCAUCAGCUUAAGUGGUACUAUGUUGCAGUGAUUUACAUCAUCGCGCCAGUUCUAGCCUUUUGUAAUGCUUAUGGAUGUGGACUAACAGAUUGGUCCCUGGUAUCCACCUACGGAAAGCUAGCAAUCUUCACAAUUGGAGCAUGGGCAGGAGCUGCUAAUGGUGGGGUUCUUGCAGGUUUAGCAGCAUGGCGGGUGAUGAUGAACAUAGUAUCCACAGCAUCUGACCUUAUGCAGGACUUCAAGACAGGUUACAUGACAUUAGCUUCACCAAGGUCAAUGUUUGUGAGUCAAGUUAUUGAAACUGCAAUGGGUUGUGUCAUUUCGCCCUGUGUUUUCUGGCUCUUCUACAAGGCUUUCCAUGACCUUGGCCUUCCUAACUCAGAAUAUCCAGCUCCUUUUGCUCUUGUUUAUCGAAACAUGUCGAUUCUAGGGGUGGAAGGGUUCUCAGCCUUACCAAAGCACUGUCUUACGCUCUGCUACAUAUUCUUCGCUGCAGCAAUAGUUAUCAAUGCCAUUAGGGAUACAGUGGGAAAGAAGAGAGCUCGGUUUAUCCCUAUUCCAAUGGCAAUGGCAAUACCCUUCUACAUCGGAGGCUACUUCGCUAUUGACAUGUGUAUUGGGAGCUUGAUAUUAUUCAUCUGGCGGAAGAUUAAUAAGGCCAAGGCCGAUGCAUUUGGACCUGCUGUAGCUUCUGGGUUGAUAUGUGGAGAUGGAAUAUGGACUUUGCCUAGCUCCAUACUGUCUUUGGCAGGUGUGAAGCCACCAAUCUGCAUGAAAUUUCUUUCCAGAAACCAAAAUGCGAAGGUGGACGGUUUCUUAAAUUCUUAGAUGAAGGCUACAACUUAAAUUUUCUCUUCCAAUUUAUGUUUAGUGUUUUUUCCCUUCAGUGACAAUGCCUUCAUUUUUUUUUUCAAUGCAAGUGUAUAUUUUUCAUAGCUUUGUUUUUACAAGAUAAUAUUAUAUCUAGUAUUGCAUUUUAGUUGUGUAUCAGUCGAG
RNAcentral lists this unclassified non-coding RNA (2143 nucleotides) under Hevea brasiliensis (rubber tree). Lineage: Eukaryota; Viridiplantae; Streptophyta; Magnoliopsida; Malpighiales; Euphorbiaceae. The record is from RNAcentral.